GAAGGUGUGUCGUGAGGCAUGCUGGAGGUAUCAGAAGUGCGAAUGCUGACAUAAGUAACGAUAAAGCGGGUGAAAAGCCCGCUCGCCGGAAGACCAAGGGUUCCUGUCCAACGUUAAUCGGGGCAGGGUGAGUCGACCCCUAAGGCGAGGCCGAAAGGCGUAGUCGAUGGGAAACGGGUUAAUAUUCCCGUACUUGGUGUUACUGCGAAGGGGGGACGGAGAAGGCUAUGUUGGCCGGGCGACGGUUGUCCCGGUUUAAGCGUGUAGGUGUGUGUUCCAGGUAAAUCCGGUUCACUUUAACACUGAGGCGUGACGACGAGGCACUACGGUGCUGAAGCAACAAAUGCCCUGCUUCCAGGAAAAGCCUCUAAGCAUCAGGUAACAUCAAAUCGUACCCCAAACCGACACAGGUGGUCAGGUAGAGAAUACCAAGGCGCUUGAGAGAACUCGGGUGAAGGAACUAGGCAAAAUGGUGCCGUAACUUCGGGAGAAGGCACGCUGACACGUAGGUGAAGUGAUUUACUCAUGGAGCUGAAGUCAGUCGAAGAUACCAGCUGGCUGCAACUGUUUAUUAAAAACACAGCACUGUGCAAACACGAAAGUGGACGUAUACGGUGUGACGCCUGCCCGGUGCCGGAAGGUUAAUUGAUGGGGUCAGCGCAAGCGAAGCUCCUGAUCGAAGCCCCGGUAAACGGCGGCCGUAACUAUAACGGUCCUAAGGUAGCGAAAUUCCUUGUCGGGUAAGUUCCGACCUGCACGAAUGGCGUAAUGAUGGCCAGGCUGUCUCCACCCGAGACUCAGUGAAAUUGAACUCGCUGUGAAGAUGCAGUGUACCCGCGGCAAGACGGAAAGACCCCGUGAACCUUUACUAUAGCUUGACACUGAACAUUGAGCCUUGAUGUGUAGGAUAGGUGGGAGGCUUUGAAGUGUGGACGCCAGUCUGCAUGGAGCCGACCUUGAAAUACCACCCUUUAAUGUUUGAUGUUCUAACGUGGACCCGUGAUCCGGGUUGCGGACAGUGUCUGGUGGGUAGUUUGACUGGGGCGGUCUCCUCCUAAAGAGUAACGGAGGAGCACGAAGGUUGGCUAAUCCUGGUCGGACAUCAGGAGGUUAGUGCAAUGGCAUAAGCCAGCUUGACUGCGAGCGUGACGGCGCGAGCAGGUGCGAAAGCAGGUCAUAGUGAUCCGGUGGUUCUGAAUGGAAGGGCCAUCGCUCAACGGAUAAAAGGUACUCCGGGGAUAACAGGCUGAUACCGCCCAAGAGUUCAUAUCGACGGCGGUGUUUGGCACCUCGAUGUCGGCUCAUCACAUCCUGGGGCUGAAGUAGGUCCCAAGGGUAUGGCUGUUCGCCAUUUAAAGUGGUACGCGAGCUGGGUUUAGAACGUCGUGAGACAGUUCGGUCCCUAUCUGCCGUGGGCGCUGGAGAACUGAGGGGGGCUGCUCCUAGUACGAGAGGACCGGAGUGGACGCAUCACUGGUGUUCGGGUUGUCAUGCCAAUGGCACUGCCCGGUAGCUAAAUGCGGAAGAGAUAAGUGCUGAAAGCAUCUAAGCACGAAACUUGCCCCGAG
Molecule: ribosomal RNA, 1568 nt
Filed under: Salmonella enterica
Lineage: Bacteria; Pseudomonadati; Pseudomonadota; Gammaproteobacteria; Enterobacterales; Enterobacteriaceae
Description: partial 23S ribosomal RNA
Rfam family: Bacterial large subunit ribosomal RNA
Source: RNAcentral